RNAcentral lists this ribosomal RNA (397 nucleotides) under uncultured bacterium. RNAcentral's name for it is "partial 16S ribosomal RNA". It matches the Rfam family "Bacterial small subunit ribosomal RNA", at positions 338 to 732 of the family's 1533-position model. The record is from RNAcentral.
CCUACGGGAGGCAGCAGUGAGGAAUAUUGGUCAAUGGGCGCGAGCCUGAACCAGCCAAGUCGCGUGAGGGAAGACUGUCCUAUGGAUUGUAAACUUCUUUUGUAGGGGAGCAAAAGACACCACGCGUACUGUUUCGCGAGUACCUGAUGAAAAAGCAUCGGCUAACUCCGUGCCAGCAGCCGCGGUAAUACGGAGGAUGCGAGCGUUAUCCGGAUUUAUUGGGGUUAAAGGGAUGGGAGGCGGGAGGUUAAGUCAGUCGUUAAAGUGUGAGGCUUAAACGUUACCUUGCCGUUGAUACUGGUAUUCUUGAGUAAAGUAGAGGUAUGCGGAAUGCGUGGUGUAGCGGUGAAAUGCUUAGAUAUCACGAAGAACUCCGAUUGCGAAGGCAGCAUACCGG